RNAcentral lists this ribosomal RNA (417 nucleotides) under Triticum aestivum (bread wheat). Its description in RNAcentral is "partial small subunit ribosomal RNA". The record is from RNAcentral. Lineage: Eukaryota; Viridiplantae; Streptophyta; Magnoliopsida; Poales; Poaceae.
AUGAGGCUGGCGGCUGUUAUUGAUAGGAUCAUCUCGCCUGCUCAGACGACCUUCCAAAGACGAAAAUGCAUCCACGACAGCUACUUAUACGUUCAGAAUUCCGCCCGAGCUCUUCAUAGGAACAAAACUCCGGCGCUACUGCUUAAGUUAGAUAUAGCUAGGGCUUUUGAUAGCAUAUCAUGGGAUUACCUAAUUGAAUUGCUGCAGAGACUUGGAUUCUCGGCUGGGUGGAGAGAUUGGAUCGCUCUACUACUCUCUUCCUCAUCCUCGUCCUGCAUUAUCAAUGGUGAUCCGGGAGACUUCGUCAUUCAUCUGUGUGGACUCCGGCAAGGGGACCCCUCUCGCCGCUGCUCUUUAUCCUUUGCAUUGACCCCUUACAUCGCCUCCUGGAGGCGGCCACUAGGGUGGGUGUGCUGA